AUGUGUGUCCCUCUUGAAGCUGUGCACUGGUCAAUAGUAACAUUUUCUCCAAUAGAGAAGGACUGUUCUUCAGGUAAGAGUAUAGGAGUGACUGAAAACUCAUGCACGAAUCUCUAAACAAGCUUUCAAGGUGGGAUUUCACUCUAACCCAGGCUGGCAUCAAAAUCGCAGUAAACUACCUGUUUCAGUUC
Molecule: small RNA, 191 nt
Filed under: Mus caroli (Ryukyu mouse)
Lineage: Eukaryota; Metazoa; Chordata; Mammalia; Rodentia; Muridae
Description: sRNA (MGP_CAROLIEiJ_G0008489.1)
Source: RNAcentral